Molecule: long non-coding RNA, 103 nt
Organism: Thalassophryne amazonica
Lineage: Eukaryota; Metazoa; Chordata; Actinopteri; Batrachoidiformes; Batrachoididae
Exons: 3
Source: RefSeq, a predicted model, not a curated record
AUCAUUAGCAUAAUUUUGGUAUCAUUAUAAUGUAAUAUGAUGUCAUUAUGACAUCAUAAUCUGAUUGUAUUGCCCAAAAUGUCAUAAUACUUGUUUUUCCCUA